This 318-nucleotide ribosomal RNA is filed under the name Oncorhynchus keta (chum salmon). Its description in RNAcentral is "partial 16S ribosomal RNA". It matches the Rfam family "Bacterial large subunit ribosomal RNA", at positions 2010 to 2477 of the family's 2925-position model. Lineage: Eukaryota; Metazoa; Chordata; Actinopteri; Salmoniformes; Salmonidae. The record is from RNAcentral.
GCUUAGCUGUCUCCUCUUCCAAGUCAAUGAAAUUGAUCUGCCCGUGCAGAAGCGGACAUAAGUACAUAAGACGAGAAGACCCUAUGGAGCUUUAGACACCCGGCAGAUCACGUCAAAAACCUUGAACUAACAAGUAAAAACGCAGUGACCCCUAGCCCAUAUGUCUUUGGUUGGGGCGACCACGGGGGAAAAUAAAGCCCCCAUGUGGACUGGGGGCACUGCCCCCACAGCCGAGAGCUACAGCUCUAAGCACCAGAAUUUCUGACCAAAAAUGAUCCGGCAAACGCCGAUCAACGGACCGAGUUACCCUAGGGAUAA